UGUGGAACUUUAAAAUCACGACCACCUUACAACCUUACACAGCCCCACUGGGUCCACCCACACAUAAACCCCUGGUCGACAUUUUUCGGUUGGGGCGACCUUGGAGAAAAAAAAAUCCUCCAAACCCACAGACCACAACUCUUCACUAAGACCAACUCCUCAAAGUACCAACAGUAACCAGACCCAAUAUAAUUGAGCAAUGGACCAAGCUACCCCA
This 217-nucleotide ribosomal RNA is filed under the name Gallus gallus (chicken). RNAcentral describes it as "partial 16S ribosomal RNA". Lineage: Eukaryota; Metazoa; Chordata; Aves; Galliformes; Phasianidae. The record is from RNAcentral.